RNAcentral lists this transfer RNA (67 nucleotides) under Enteromius fasciolatus (African banded barb). Its description in RNAcentral is "tRNA-Cys". It matches the Rfam family "tRNA". Rfam says of the family: Transfer RNA (tRNA) molecules are approximately 80 nucleotides in length. Their secondary structure includes four short double-helical elements and three loops (D, anti-codon, and T loops). The record is from RNAcentral. Lineage: Eukaryota; Metazoa; Chordata; Actinopteri; Cypriniformes; Cyprinidae.
AGCUCCGUAGUGUAUAACAUAUUGGAUUGCAAAUCCGAAGAAGCAGAUUAAUACUCUGCCGGGGCUU